RNAcentral lists this unclassified non-coding RNA (425 nucleotides) under soil metagenome. RNAcentral describes it as "partial contains 5.8S ribosomal RNA, internal transcribed spacer 2, and large subunit ribosomal RNA". The stretch from base 1 to 120 matches the Rfam family "5.8S ribosomal RNA", at positions 35 to 154 of the family's 154-position model. The record is from RNAcentral.
GAUGAAGAACGUAGCGAAAUGCGAUAAGUAGUGUGAAUUGCAGAAUUCCGUGAAUCAUCGAAUCUUUGAACGCACAUUGCGCCUUCUGGUAUUCCGGAAGGCAUGCCUGUUCGAGAGUCAUUAACAACCGUUUCGAUCCCUUUCUUUCAGAAAUUACAAAGAGGAAAAGGGUUUGGUUAUGGUGGAGGAGGGAAAGGGAGCGUUUAGCCUGUAAAAAAAGAGGUUGUGUUCCGCCUCCCCCCCAAAAUUGUACAGGCGGUCGUGUGCGCCCACGCAUCGAGGUGUUGUAAAAGCUGCCACGGCACUUUUCACCUGUGCAGUGCGAGAUUGGCCAGCCGGUUUAAAAACCCCUCCAAACAAUCAAAGGUUGACCUCGGAUCAGGUAGGGAUACCCGCUGAACUUAAGCAUAUCAAUAAGCGGAGGA